ACACAUGCGGCAAAUUAAUGCACUUCACUUCCUGUUGACCUUUGACCAUCAACUUCCUGCUGCCACCCCAAAGAAAGCAGGACAGAAACCCAGACGAGGCGGGACGAGGCACGAAGCCCCGCCUCCUCCUCCUCUCAGCUCCUCCACUCGCUCACUGGAGAAGUUAGUGACCAGUCGUGUGCCACGUCAAGCCUGCGCGUCCACGCAUCGAGGCGCUUCACACACGCCGGCUGGAUGAGGGAGUGUGUUCGGGGGCAAGCUACAGCCGACACGUUCAAAGUCUGAGAAAUAUUGGGAAAAGUGACACUCAGGAGGACCAGACCUGGAGGAUGAGACUCCAUCAUCAUGAUCAGCGAGACACGAGACGCCCGUCACGCCUGCCCAGUGUUCAGACUACCUGUUCAGGUAGUAGUGUUUGUACAGUAGUCUGCACAUUGGUUAGGCUGGACGGGGAAGCUCAAGACGGAUGAAGAAUCAUCAUCGUCAUCAUCGUCGUGGUUCAGUAGAAAUAAUGAUCUGUUCAUGUCAAUGAUGUAAUCAAGGAAUAAAGUCUACGUGUGCAAAGUGUGAA
Molecule: long non-coding RNA, 571 nt
Organism: Pimephales promelas (fathead minnow)
Lineage: Eukaryota; Metazoa; Chordata; Actinopteri; Cypriniformes; Leuciscidae
Source: RefSeq, a predicted model, not a curated record